CCAUUAAUGAAAAGUUCAAAACUUGAGGGAAAAAAAAUUUGGUUGAUGGCUUUUUCGAGUCCAACUUCAACCCUCUUUUGUUCUCAACCAUUUUAACGAAGAGUUAUUCUAUAGAAAAGCCACUGUAGCAGUACAUUCACUAAGGGGCUUCUUCUAUUUUUAUUUUUAUUUUAAAUUUAAACCAAAACGCACCGUUUUGAAUCAAUUUGAAGUACAGUUUCAAUUUUUAUCCAUAUUUGAAAUCAGCCCAUGAAUCACCCUCCUCCCUCGACAGCAACUAGCGGAUUGCUUCACCUACCCAGUGCCUCCCAGCGACAGUGUGUCUCUCGUCAAUGCCUUUCUCUUGCGUCGCUUCUUCAUCAGCCUAGCGCCGCGCUACCAUAAAACUCAUAUUCGAUUACCGUUCCAAAGAGGAACUCUUAGCUCGAUACCAAAACGCAAUCUUAAUACAUAGGUCUGAGAUACAAGACUGCUGGUUGUACGAGCUAGGCAGAUAGGCGAAAGUCGUCUCUUAAAGAUCGACGCGAAGGAGAAGUUAAUACAGCUUUAGGGAAAGGCUGGGACGAUGUGCUACGAGGUGAAGUGCUCUGUUUGCGGCAAGACCACAUGGGACGGCUGUGGAAGGCAUGUCCUUUCUGUUUACAAACGAAUCCCGGAAGGCCAGCACUGUCGUUGCCGAGAAUGGCCUGGCGUCAAACCAGGAGAUCAUUCUUCUAGCAAUGUUUCUCAAAGUCAACCCUCUUCUUCAUGUGCUAUUCUCUGAAAUGCCUCUCUCUCUGUCUUACGUUUGCUGCCUUCUGUUUUCCCUCAACUCGGUUCCUUGCGUGUGGAGCUAGUGCUUUGUCUGUGUGCGCUUCUCUUUGCGUAUAUAUUUGUGCUUUUCAUAUGCAAGAGUUUGUUGCUAAAGUUGUGAACAUAUGCAAGAUGGAAUCGGGGAAUAAAAAUUCUGGUGUGGUUGAUGUGUGUUGUAACAGAGACCUAAAGGCAAAUAAAGGCUAGAUUUUUAUCU
Long non-coding RNA from Carya illinoinensis, 1009 nucleotides. RefSeq lists it as uncharacterized. The record is from RefSeq and is a predicted model, not a curated record. NCBI's taxonomy places the organism in Eukaryota, Viridiplantae, Streptophyta, Magnoliopsida, Fagales, Juglandaceae. The transcript is spliced from 2 exons.